Molecule: ribosomal RNA, 424 nt
Filed under: uncultured eukaryote
Lineage: Eukaryota
Description: SSU rRNA
Rfam family: Eukaryotic small subunit ribosomal RNA
Source: RNAcentral
CAAUAGCGUAUACUAAAGUUGUUGCAGUUAAAAAGCUCGUAGUUGAAUUUCUGGUUGUGAAAGAUGGUCCGUUCCUCAAGGAAUGUGUACUAAUCAUUCAUGGCCAUCCUCGGGGAGAAUGUGUGUUACUUUCAGUAGUCGUGCACAGGAACCCCGUCAUUUACUGUGAGCAAAAUAGAGUGUUCAAAGCAGGCUUAUGCCGUUGAAUAUAUUAGCAUGGAAUAAUAAGAUAUGACUUUGGUCUAUUUUGUUGGUUUGCUUUCCAAAGUAAUGAUUAAUAGGGAUAGUUGGGGGUAUUCGUAUUCAAUUGUCAGAGGUGAAAUUCUUAGAUUUACGAAAGACAAACUACUGCGAAAGCAUUUACCAAGGAUGUUUUCAUUGAUCAAGAACGAAAGUAUGGGGAUCGAAGACGAUUAGAUACCAU